AGUGAUCGGAUCACAAUGCCUGCUGGUGGUUGUUUAUGUUCACUUGUGAUCCGAUCGCGACAUUUUGAAACAAAGUGUGAACGGGGUCUAUAUGUCAGUUGAAUCUGCCAACACGUUGAUCUUUAGAACUUCCACUAAGAAAGAUUAACAGAGUAAUAAGAACUUGGCUUUCCCCUCCUUUCAUUGAUGUCCUGUGGGCCUCAACACGUGUGUUAUUCAGUUUUUGAAACAGGGUGAUGAUUGCACAUGCAGUGACCUAACAUGUUUUUGGUUCACAUCUAUUUUCCUGGUACUGAAAAUCAGUUGGAAGAAAAGCUGCUGGAUGUCUGACAGAGAGAAAAAAGGAAAAGUUCACAGCACUUCAGUCUGAACUGUGUUUCUCAAGUGGAGCAAAACAUGGCGGUAAGUCCGCAGAGUGUCAUGGUGCUUUACUCUCGCUCAUCCGUCUGUCCCCAGUUUAAUGGACUGUAUAUGAACUGAAGGGCUUAAACAUGUUAAUGCUUUUUCGUUUGUCGCCAUACUCCACUCUGAACGGCAGAUCUCAGUGAGGGAAACAGGGAUGAAUCUCUAACACGGACCUUCGACCACACACAGAUCCUCUAAUGGCUCAGUAAACACUCACUGCGAGCUGAAAACACGGGCAGACUGAUGCUUCCUCGCCUCACACUCAUGUGUGGGUGGUCUGCCGUAGGUUUGAUCACUUCCUGCAGCAGCUGACAUCAGCAAAGCUAAAUUCUACUUUAUUGUACAUCCAGGAAAUAAAUACUCAAGUUCAGCUUUAGAGCAGACAUAAAAGGAAAGUAAUGUGUCGUUGUCCAGAGAUGGAAACUAUGUCUUCUUUAAAAUUCCCUCUGCAUCUUAAUCAGUGUGGCUGAAAGUUUAAGUGAAUGUGCAAAAGAAAAGCUGAAGCUGAAGGUGAAGGUGCCGAGAUGACAUAUUUUAAAAAGCACCAGUCGGACCUCAAACUGGACAUAUCUGCAGUUACUCGAGACGGGAUGCAGGAGCGGCUGUGAACCAGCAGGUGGAGCUGUUGUUCUGUGUUCAGCAGGCAGAUGAUGAAGCCUUACAUCCUGCAG
This 1076-nucleotide long non-coding RNA is filed under the name Cottoperca gobio. Its description in RNAcentral is "lncRNA (ENSCGOG00000006225.1)". Lineage: Eukaryota; Metazoa; Chordata; Actinopteri; Perciformes; Bovichtidae. The record is from RNAcentral.